CCCCAGCAUCAGGAACGACCGCUCGCACCAAACGAGCGGUCGGCCAACCUGGCCCGGAAGGCCAAGGUGGUUUCCUCGGACGGUGUUCGUCCGGGGGAUGCGCGCGGGGCAGGAGCCCUGGCGAACGAAGCUUCCGGCGC
This 140-nucleotide non-coding RNA is filed under the name unclassified sequences. The record is from Rfam by way of RNAcentral.